Molecule: ribosomal RNA, 449 nt
Filed under: Streptococcus agalactiae
Lineage: Bacteria; Bacillati; Bacillota; Bacilli; Lactobacillales; Streptococcaceae
Description: bacterial SSU rRNA
Rfam family: Bacterial small subunit ribosomal RNA
Source: RNAcentral
GCAAGCUCAGAGUUUGAUCCUGGCUCAGGACGAACGCUGGCGGCGUGCCUAAUACAUGCAAGUAGAACGCUGAGGUUUGGUGUUUACACUAGACUGAUGAGUUGCGAACGGUGAGUAACGCGUAGGUAACCUGCCUCAUAGCGGGGGAUAACUAUUGGAAACGAUAGCCAAUACCGCAUAAGAGUAAUUAACACAUGUUAGUUAUUUAAAAGGAGCAAUUGCUUCACUGUGAGAUGGACCUGCGUUGUAUUAGCUAGUUGGUGAGGUAAAGGCUCACCAAGGCGACGAUACAUANCCGACCUGAGAGGGUGAUCGGCCACACUGGGACUGAGACACGGCCCAGACUCCUACGGGAGGCAGCAGUAGGGAAUCUUCGGCAAUGGACGGAAUCUGACCGAGCAACGCCGCGUGAGUGAAGAAGUUUUCGGAUCGUAAACUCUGUUGUUAGA